RNAcentral lists this microRNA precursor (102 nucleotides) under Cavia porcellus (domestic guinea pig). Its description in RNAcentral is "microRNA 196a-1 (ENSCPOG00000017524.3)". The stretch from base 15 to 90 matches the Rfam family "mir-196 microRNA precursor family". From Rfam's summary of the family: In many species the miRNA appears to be expressed from intergenic regions in HOX gene clusters. The hairpin precursors (represented here) are predicted based on base pairing and cross-species conservation -- their extents are not known. Lineage: Eukaryota; Metazoa; Chordata; Mammalia; Rodentia; Caviidae. The record is from RNAcentral.
UGAACUAGGACUGCUGGGUGAAUUAGGUAGUUUCAUGUUGUUGGGCCUGGGCUUCUGAAAACAACAACAUCAAACCACCCGAUUCACGGCAGUUAAGGCUCC